GAUGAACGCUAGCUACAGGCUUAACACAUGCAAGUCGAGGGGUAACAAGAGAAAAGCUUGCUUUUCUUGUUGACGACCGGCGCACGGGUGAGUAACGCGUAUCCAACCUGCCUAUAACUAGGGAAUAACCUUGCGAAAGUAAGACUAAUACCCUAUGAUUUCCUUUGAUGACAUCAGAUUAGGAAUAAAGAUUUAUCGGUUAUAGAUGGGGAUGCGUCUGAUUAGCUUGUUGGCGGGGUAACGGCCCACCAAGGUAACGAUCAGUAGGGGUUCUGAGAGGAAGGUCCCCCACGUUGGAACUGAGACACGGUCCAAACUCCUACGGGAGGCAGCAGUGAGGAAUAUUGGUCAAUGGGCGGAAGCCUGAACCAGCCAAGUAGCGUGCGGGAUGACGGCCCUAUGGGUUGUAAACUGCUUUUAUACAGGAAUGAAGUUAGCUACGUGUGGUUAUUUGUAGGUACUGUAUGAAUAAGGACCGGCUAAUUCCGUGCCAGCAGCCGCGGUAA
RNAcentral lists this ribosomal RNA (506 nucleotides) under uncultured bacterium. RNAcentral describes it as "partial 16S ribosomal RNA". It matches the Rfam family "Bacterial small subunit ribosomal RNA", at positions 28 to 523 of the family's 1533-position model. The record is from RNAcentral.